CCUACGGGAGGCAGCAGUGAGGAAUAUUGGUCAAUGGGAGGAAUCCUGAACCAGCCAUGCCGCGUGCAGGACGACGGCUCUACGAGUUUUAAACUGCUUUUGUACCGGGGUAAAAGGCUCUACGUGUCGGGUUUUGCACGUACGGUACGAUUACAGAUCGGCUAACUACGUGCCAGCAGCCGCGGUAAUACGGAGGGUCCGAGCGUUAUCCGGAUUCAUUGGGUUUAAAGGGUGCGUAGGUGGUUUGAUAAGUUAGCGGUGAAAUACCGAGGCUCAACAUCGGGGCUGCCGCGGAUACUGUCGGACUAGAGAGCGGAUGAGGCAGGCGGAAUGUGUAGUGUAGCGGUGAAAUGCGUAGAUAGUA
Molecule: ribosomal RNA, 364 nt
Filed under: uncultured bacterium
Lineage: Bacteria
Description: partial 16S ribosomal RNA
Rfam family: Bacterial small subunit ribosomal RNA
Source: RNAcentral